RNAcentral lists this transfer RNA (73 nucleotides) under Candidatus Woesearchaeota archaeon. RNAcentral's name for it is "tRNA-Cys". It matches the Rfam family "tRNA". From Rfam's summary of the family: Transfer RNA (tRNA) molecules are approximately 80 nucleotides in length. RNAcentral also lists the same sequence under 1 other name. The record is from RNAcentral. Lineage: Archaea; Nanobdellati; Candidatus Woesearchaeota.
GCGGGGGUAGCCAAGCGGCUAAGGCGACCGCCUGCAGAGCGGUUAUUCGGGGGUUCAAGUCCCUCCCCUCGCU